GAUAAACGCUGGCGGCGCACAUAAGACAUGCAAGUCGAACGGACGACUUUGAUUUGUUUUACUUAUCAAAGAAGUUAGUGGCGGACUGGUGAGUAACACGUAAAUAAUCUGCCUGCAAGAGGGGAACAACAGUGAGAAAUCACUGCUAAUACCGCAUAAUCUACAAUUAUCGCAUGAUAGAUGUAGAAAAGGAGCAAUCCGCUUGCAGAUGAGUUUGCGUCUGAUUAGCUAGUUGGUGUGGUAACGGCAUACCAAGGCGACGAUCAGUAGCCGAACUGAGAGGUUGAUCGGCCACAUUGGGACUGAGACACGGCCCAGACUCCUACGGGAGGCAGCAGUGGGGGAGUAUUGCGCAAUGGGGGGCAACCCUGACGCAGCAACGCCGCGUGAAGGAAGAAGGUUUUCGGAUCGUAAACUUCUUUAAGUGGGAAGAUAGUGACGGUACCACAGAAUAAGCCACGG
RNAcentral lists this ribosomal RNA (462 nucleotides) under uncultured bacterium. Its description in RNAcentral is "bacterial SSU rRNA". It matches the Rfam family "Bacterial small subunit ribosomal RNA", at positions 28 to 496 of the family's 1533-position model. The record is from RNAcentral.